Molecule: ribosomal RNA, 768 nt
Filed under: arctic soil bacterium S1TS2
Lineage: Bacteria
Description: bacterial SSU rRNA
Rfam family: Bacterial small subunit ribosomal RNA
Source: RNAcentral
CUGGCUCAGAUUGAACGCUGGCGGCAUGCCUUACACAUGCAAGUCGAACGGCAGCACGGGGGCAACCCUGGUGGCGAGUGGCGAACGGGUGAGUAAUACAUCGGAACGUGUCCUGUAGUGGGGGAUAGCCCGGCGAAAGCCGGAUUAAUACCGCAUACGAUCUACGGAAGAAAGCGGGGGAUCCUUCGGGACCUCGCGCUAUAGGGGCGGCCGAUGGCAUAUUAGCUAGUUGGUGGGGUAAAGGCCUACCAAGGCGACGAUCUGUAGCUGGUCUGAGAGGACGACCAGCCACACUGGGACUGAGACACGGCCCAGACUCCUACGGGAGGCAGCAGUGGGGAAUUUUGGACAAUGGGGGAAACCCUGAUCCAGCAAUGCCGCGUGUGUGAAGAAGGCCUUCGGGUUGUAAAGCACUUUUGUCCGGAAAGAAAACUUCUGCCCUAAUACGGCGGGAGGAUGACGGUACCGGAAGAAUAAGCACCGGCUAACUACGUGCCAGCAGCCGCGGUAAUACGUAGGGUGCGAGCGUUAAUCGGAAUUACUGGGCGUAAAGCGUGCGCAGGCGGUUCGUUAAGACAGAUGUGAAAUCCCCGGGCUUAACCUGGGAACUGCAUUUGUGACUGGCGAGCUAGAGUAUGGCAGAGGGGGGUAGAAUUCCACGUGUAGCAGUGAAAUGCGUAGAGAUGUAGAGGAAUACCGAUGGCGAAGGCAGCCCCCUGGGCCAAUACUGACGCUCAUGCACGAAAGCGUGGGGAGCAAACAGGAUUA